CAAGCCUCUGAGAGGGAUGAAGAUAUUGUUUUCUUUGAUCAGAUUAUGCCGGUAAAGGUUUUCUGGUUUACCCUAUAGGGCUUGUAGCUCAGUUGGUUAGAGCGCGCGCUUGAUAAGCGUGAGGUCGGAGGUUCAAGUCCUCCCAGGCCCACCAGUUACACGAUGCUAAAAGUUGCUAUAUUGGGAGAGUUGAUAAUCCCUUACAGGAAAUUAUUGCCCUUAAUAAAACUUUAUUUUCUAAAAGCAUUCAGAGCUGACAUAGAAUAGAGCUGACAUAGAAUUGAGAAUCUGACAUAGGAAUUAUUGAAAUUGUUUUGGAAUUAUUGAAAUUGUUUUCUAUCAUUUUAAAAGGCUAAAAUAUUCUGUCUCUAUUUUUAAAAUAGCAUCAGGUGUUUUGUAAGAGUGUGAAGUUUUUAAGUGUGAGGUUUUUUAUAUUUUAGUGUGAGGUUUUUAUAAGGGUAUGACGUGAGAGGGUUUUGACCUGUUUUAGGGGCCGUAGCUCAGCUGGGAGAGCACCUGCUUUGCAAGCAGGGGGUCGUCGGUUCGAUCCCGUCCGGCUCCACCAUAAUUUGGUUCAUCAUUAUUGUUAGAAGAAUAGUUAUUGCAUG
RNAcentral lists this transfer RNA (608 nucleotides) under uncultured Bartonella sp. Its description in RNAcentral is "partial 16S-23S ribosomal RNA intergenic spacer". The stretch from base 78 to 151 matches the Rfam family "tRNA". Lineage: Bacteria; Pseudomonadati; Pseudomonadota; Alphaproteobacteria; Hyphomicrobiales; Bartonellaceae. The record is from RNAcentral.